AUGUGCUUUUGUCUCUGCCCUUUCACUUGAAUUUGUCUCCUUCGGGUUAUUUGCACAGAGUGGGGACACCUGCCCUCGCCCCCACCACAGCCCCAAUAUCAGAUCAUUAAUUAACUUCCUUCUUAAAUAUCUGAGCACUCCCUGAAACUGCUUGCACCCACUGACAUGGUACAGCGAUUGUCAUGAAAUGAUGCUCCAGGGAACCCGAAGAGCACCAAUAGAGAACAAACUGGAUUUCAGCUCCAUGAAGAUUUCUUGAAAGUGGUCACCCACAAUGAAUUGCAGUCUAUGGCAACAAUGCACCCUUUAGUAAAGGAGGUGGAGGAGAAGACUUAGAAGGCUAGAUUGUCCCCUUGGGAAGAAAGGGAAAUCAUCAGCAAAACAAGGAAGGGAUGUUGGUAAGCGACACAGCGAACUUGACCCAUAAUUGGACAUU
RNAcentral lists this long non-coding RNA (436 nucleotides) under Pogona vitticeps (central bearded dragon). Its description in RNAcentral is "lncRNA (ENSPVIG00000001391.1)". Lineage: Eukaryota; Metazoa; Chordata; Lepidosauria; Squamata; Agamidae. The record is from RNAcentral.